This 581-nucleotide ribosomal RNA is filed under the name Anacanthotermes sp. RNAcentral describes it as "partial large subunit ribosomal RNA". It matches the Rfam family "Eukaryotic large subunit ribosomal RNA", at positions 646 to 1112 of the family's 3401-position model. Lineage: Eukaryota; Metazoa; Arthropoda; Insecta; Blattodea; Hodotermitidae. The record is from RNAcentral.
UUCCCCUCUUUGAAACACGGACCAAGGAGUUUUAACAGUGCCGCGAGUCCCUGGGACCGAUCUAAACCCAGAGGCGCAAUGUAAAACGUGGGGCCCGCCCGGUACGGCGGGGCCCCGCCCCAAAGGGAAGGACGGGUCGGGUCGCUCCUGACCGGGGGGGCCCGGCAAACCACUCCCGGGGGCGCCUUGGGCCCAGGCCGCAGGCGCACCCGGGGGGCACACGUUGGGACCCCGAAAAGAUGGUGAACUAUGCCCGGCCAGGACGAAGUCAGGGGAAACCCCGAUGGAGGUCCGCAGCGAUUCUGACGUGCAAAUCGAUCGUCAGAGCUGGGUAUAGGGGCGAAAGACUAAUCGAACCAUCUAGUAGCUGGUUCCCUCCGAAGUUUCCCUCAGGAUAGCUGGCGCCGAGUUGGAAAGGGACCAGUCUCAUCCGGUAAAGCGAAUGAUUAGAGGCCUUGGGGCCGAAACGACCUCAACCUAUUCUCAAACUUUAAAUGGGUGAGAUCUCCGGCUUGCUUGAACGAAAGCCGCGAGAAGAGAGCUUGCGCUCUCCUCUGAUGUCCUUUAAACCAAAGUCCCGU